Long non-coding RNA from Fukomys damarensis (Damara mole-rat), 5337 nucleotides. NCBI's taxonomy places the organism in Eukaryota, Metazoa, Chordata, Mammalia, Rodentia, Bathyergidae. The record is from Ensembl.
GGCGGGUCGGCUUCUUCCCUCAGCUACCGCAAACCUUCGGCACACAGGAAUCUCAGCCUUCAGUGCGCCCAGCCUCUGGAAGUUGAAGCUCGCGCGGGCGCCUGCCGGAGACGGUAGAAGCGGCGACAGCCGCACUCAUCGUUGCCCAGGCCAAUGGAGCCGAGGCGUCGCUGGAACGCGAGCGGGGGCCUGAGACGCCCAGACCAGCAGCACCCAGAGAACUCGCCAAAGCCCAGCGUCUUCCGGCUCAGGCGGGAAAGUGAUCGCGAGGAGCAAACUUGGCGCUCGCAGCCUCCGGCCUCAGAGAGAUGUGUGUUUACUCAGGGCAACUGUGGCCCUGUGUGGCCAAGUACACCCCUAAAUGACAGGCACCUGUGCCAGGUCAUCUCCUAUGGAUCUGUCUCUGGAGCCCUUUGGACCUCCCUGGAAGGCCAGCCAUCAGGGUUACAGCUUUCCUCCAAAACCUGAGGUGGCAAGGCUUAGGCUGGGACUGCAAACCAACAACUCCCAUCAGUAGGGAAGGAGGACUGGCGAGAGUGCCCUCUGAUUAGGGGGUCAAUGACUUUGGUGAUCGAACAGCCAGCUGCAGAGGCUGGAAGUCUAAAACUACGGGCCCGUCUUCCUACCAAUUAAGGGCUGCCUGCUAGAGCAGUGGCACUUGAGGAAUGGGAUGUUUUCCUAGGGUCCUGAAAUUGGAGCAAGACAGAAGGAAGGGUGCCUAACCAUAGCAACCUAGUUCCACUGUGCACCUUACACACUUGGGGUGGUGUUAACCUUUCCAAGUACUGCUGUGACUGGUGAGGCCCUAAGUCCUUGUGUCCUGUGUGGUGAAUGCGACACCACAGUAAGCCGCUGAGAAGCAAAAAGUCUGUCUGUAGGAGGCCGGCCUUGGUGGCUGGGAAGCUCCCAGAGAAGAGCACCCUCUGGAGGAACCCAGCAUCCAUACAAAGUCAGGAACUUCACCCUGGAGUCCCUAACCCUACUCCAUCCCUUUGGCAGUAACUCGGAGACUCAGAGCCUCAUUCUUUGUUCUCAUUUCCAUCUUUAUCGGAUCUCGACAGUCUGUACAGCUGAGAAGUUCCAGGUUGCUCCGAAGGGCCCCAAGUUUCCGGACUGGAUUGAAAGUCUUAUGUAAACAGGGAGGCUGGGAACUGCCUCAACUUGGGCAAAUACUACCUUCCCCAUUAACCAUCACCACCCCGCUUGCCCAAGGGAGGGAGGGGCCGACAUCUGUCCUGCUAAUAUACAUCCAGGAGGCACUGUGCAGACCCAAGAUCCAGCUGGACCAGAGAGGGUGACUUGCCAGGGGUUUUCCUGAGGCCCUAGACAUCAGUCAGUGCCCAGCAGCCUGAAACACUUGCAGGAUGGCUUCACUGGGGAGGAGGGGGUGUGGUGUGCUUGUCCGCACAGGAUGCCUGGCAGCAGUGUUGUCUACUUGUCCAGUUCCUCUCCAUUCUCUGCUCUCCACUCGCUCCUGAUUUGCUCUUACUUGCUCACUGGCUGCCUGACUCAUACCUCCUAAUCCUCCUUGGUGUAUAACAAACGUCAAGCUUUAUGAGCCACUUUCCCUGACAAUACCCUACACACUCGCCAGACUGUGAGGGGCUGUUGCUCUUAGCUCCCCAGUUUGGGGAUACAUCUCCCAGUUCCUCUCCCUAUGUGGACUGUAAGCUCCAUGAAAACAAGGAUUGUAUUCCAUUCAUCCUCAUCUUUCCUUCUCUACAAAAUGGGGAUAAUUGUACCUGCCCUUCUUGUAAGGAUUCAGUGAAAUAAUACAUACAAAGCACUGAAAAUUUGAAAGAGCUCAAUAAAUAUUUUGCGUCAUCAUUAUUAAUCACUCUUCCUCCAGCCUGACACAGUCAGUGUCUAAUUGGUGCUAGGUAUGUGGGUACAUGAGUGUAUGCCCUACAUCUCCCUCUGCCUGGGACUCCUCAGUAAGGAGAAGUAUGUGUUCUCUGAGAUCAAAGGUGGUUUCUCCUCCACAGAUCCCCAUUCCUAACCAGAAAGAACACCUCUUAACUUUCAGAACUAGAACCCCCUCAACCCACAUUAGUGGCUGAAACAGUAUGGAUAUUCAUGUCCUUUUCGCAUAAAAUCUGAGUAGGCACUUCAGGGUGGUGUGGCAGUUCAGCGGUCUCAGACUCAGGAUCAUUCUCUCCUAUAGCUCGGCUCUUUGUGAAAUUCAACUCAACUAGCAGAAAUUCAACAGAGGAAAAUGGUGUAGAGAGACAGGGAACCUUAAUAAUAAAGCUUGAGCCCCUGGAUCCAGCGCUUCCACGAUCCCUGGUUGCAACAGUCAUUGGAUUUCUCUCUUGUGCUUUCUGCCUCAGUUUCCUCCUUUUAAAAUGGUUAUAACAAGUUCUCCCAGACCUGUCAAAAUUUUCCAGGGUCCCCCCUUGCGUGUAGGACAAAGUAACUCUCCUUGGUCUGAAGAGCUGAAUAUGCUUACAUUUUGAAAACAAAACAAAACAACAACAAACCUCCUGUGCUCUAUGUAGUCCAAUAGAGCUGUCUGGUUUCUGUCUCCUUCCCACUUACCGCUAGGAGACGAUGGGCAACCCAGCUGGAUCAGAGCAUUGCCAGUCCAGGGCCCAGUGAUUGGUCCAGGGGUAGUAACUGGUCUAGGUGAAGCCACUCACUCCUUCCCUGGAUUUGACACAUAGGUACUGGGACUUGGAGGUGUACAGACUAUGGGACUCUGGGAUAUGUAUAAUCCAGGACUCUGGGGAGAGUGUUUCUCCUUUUGGAUUGGAAGACACACAUGUAGGCUUAGCUGCCAGAAGCCGUCUUUCCUGCCAUGUGGAACACGCUGUUUGACACUGAGGACCACACACAGAGGGAAACAGCCUCCAAGAGAGAUGGAGCCGUGGUAAUGGCAUGGCUUUUGUUUGGUUGUUUUUCAUUUGUUUGAUUCGUUUUGAGGUCCUGGACCCAGCUCUGCCUGAAACUAUAGCAGUUGGACUUUCCAGAGACAUGAAAGAAAUAUCUCCUUUAGUUAAGGUAGGUUGAGCUAGAUUUCUGCUAGUUGAGUUGAAUUUCACUAAAAGCAAAGCCAUAGAAGAAAAAGAUUAUGAGUUCUAGAAACACUGAACUGCUCGUCACCCUGAACUGCCUGCACAGAUUUUAUGUGAACAGGACAUAAAUGUCAACCUUGUAUAAGCCACUAAUGUACGAAUGAGAGGAGCAGCCUGUCACAAGAAAGGAUGGCAAAAUGUCCUAACGACACAAAGGAAAGACCUGGGGUAGUCAGUCUGAAGAAAAAGCCAUGGGUAGGCCAGUGUGGUGGUGUACACCUGUAAUCCCAGCAGGAGGCUGAGGCAGGAGGAUCACCAAGAGUUCAAGGCCAGCCUGAACUUCAUAGUGAGUCCCAGGCCAGCCUAGAAUAGACAGCAAUAAAAAAUAAAUAAAUAAAAAACAGGCACAGCUACCAUACCAGAUCUCUAAGGGCUGAGAUGGGGCAGAGAGAUUAAGGCAAAGGGGAGCCAGAAAGCUGUGAUGAGACUUACUUUCUGUGACUUCAUGCUUGAGAAAUAUUCCAGAAGGGCUGUGACCCAGAGAUGCAGUAAGUUACCUUGAGCUACUUGAUGGUAGUGAGAUCUCUGUCACCAGUAGUGCUCAAGUACAGGCUAGGUGAUCGCUGAGUAUGAAUCUUAGGUGUCUAGAUACAACAGAAAGAGUGCAUCUCUUAGAGCUGGAUUCACAUUAUGCUUCUAACACUUUUUACUCUUAGACAAUAAACUCUCUACACUUCAAGAUCAUUUGUAAAGUAUCUGAUGGCUGGGCUGGAGACUGGAACCAAGGAAAUUCUUAGCCUACUCCCGGAGGACUCCUGGGUACCAGUACACUAGCUAGAGCCAACCAUGAGUCAGAAUGCCUGAGUCAGGUUUCUCAUCAUCCUCUCCAACUUGGGCAUGUUGAGGGAAGCCUGCUCCCACCUGCGGGAAAUGCACCUCCCACUGGUUUGUUCUCCAGCUGCAGAGGAGGCAGGGAAUGAGACAGGCCUCUACUCCCAGCCCUGCUUAUCUUCCUGUGUGACCUUAGGGUGACCCCUGCUUCUCCCAGGUCCUCCACAUCCUAAUCUAACAAGUGAGAAGUGCAUCCAUUCCCUGUCCUGGUCAAUCCAGCUGUAGAAUCAGCUCUUAACAACUACCCUAACUAUAAUCCCAAAUGUGAAAGCUUCCCAUUCACAGCAAUAGUAAUCAUGUUACAACACGGCCCUCCCAGCCACCUCAGAGCCUGCUGAACAGGGCCCCCCUCCUCCUACCUAGGUCAGCCCCAAAUGGCACCAUAUGCUAUAUGAGUUGACCUCACAGGUGUGGGCCAAACCAGAGGUGCCCAAGUUGCUGAGGACUUUGUUUCUAGGCAUGGAGUUUAGCUCCCUGUUUAUCACAAUCCUUCAUGGGGGCUUCUACUUCUUCCCUCAAAGCAGGGACCACUCCUUUGGGGGAUGAGAGCAAUGAAAUGGAAAUCAGAGGCAGAAUUUAGAACUCAAAGAAAGGAUGCACAAUUGGGAGGCCAGAUGGGGAGAGAAGCAUGUAUCAGGAAACCUGGAGGACUGAAAUGCAGAAGUCAAAAAAGCUGCUUCCCCACACCUGCCACUGAUGCCCCAGGCUUGGGGCUAGAAGGCACAGGAUCCAUCACCCUGGACACUCGACAUCCAGGGCACAGAGCUCAUCCAGGAAAGGGAGGCAAGGACCCAGGCUUCUGUGAGGGGCCCUGGUGAUAUUCUGACAAGAGGCACCAGGAAGGAGGGCAGUGAGUCUGAGAAGAUGAAAUUCUGACUACGGUCACCGAGGGUCCCUUUGAGAAAAGGAGACAGCUAUGGAAAGAGCCAGUAUCUAGAGACUGUGGUGUCCUGACAAGGGCUACAUGGAAAUCCAUUUUUAGAGCUUUCUCCUGAAGAGAUACCAUAUAGACAUAUGAUAGGAAAUACACACAAAGCCUCCAUCAGUAUGUUAAAAAGUGGGAGACAGUGUAAAUGCCCACCAAGAAGGGGGCAGUUAAAUAAUGACAUACCCAUAGAAUGCAAUGGUGUGCUGUCUAAAGAAUAAAUCAUAUUACAGGGAAAUAUACAUACCUGUGUUUAGAGAAACAAUUGUUCUGUUUUAAUUAAUUUUAUUGGUACAUUUUAGGUAUAAAAUAUAAUGGCAUUCAUCACUGGAGAUUUGUACCUUUACAUAAUAUACCUUGAUUCUUAUAUUUUCCCCAUUCCCCUGCCCUCCCUUCAACCCCUCCACCCCUCCCUAUUUACAGACUUUGUUUCCAUUUUUUUCAUUUUCUCAUAUUAAUUCCAUUCACUUCUUUCCUUUCCCCUACCCUGCCCACUUUCCUUUCCCC